UAUCUACUCCCUCCAUCCCAAAAUUCUUGUCUUAGAUUUGUCUAAAUACGGAUGUAUCAAGUCACGUUUUAGUAUUAGAUACAUCCGUAUCUAGACAAAUCUAAGCCAAAAAUUUAGGACGGGGGGAGUGAUAA
This is a non-coding RNA of Triticum aestivum (bread wheat), 134 nucleotides long. The record is from Rfam. Lineage: Eukaryota; Viridiplantae; Streptophyta; Magnoliopsida; Poales; Poaceae.